AUUUAGCUCCCUCUCCCUUCCUCCUGCUGCCGCGCCGCCCUCCCUUUCCCUUUUCUCCCGUAGCGGCGUCGACCAAAGGAGAAGGGGCUGUUGUCGCUGUUUCGGCCUCUUGCCGGCAUCCUUUCAGCCAUCUGAUGUCGGAUCCAGGUUUCUCACCCCCGAAAACCCCCGGAACAAGUCUCCCCCGCCAUUUUCCUCCAUCAGCAGCCUCAGAGGAGCUUCACCAUAGUAGCCCCUUUUCGGUGCCUUCCGGCAAGUUUCCGGCCGAAACUCUUAUGUUUUCAGACUCCCGGCAACUCGAGCUUCACGUAGGUGCUUCUGGAUUUGAAUUCCGACACCAUUGGCAGGACCGGCUUCCGGACCCCAGUGUUUUCCAGACGCGCAAAAUUUUAAGAUUUCGGCUCGGUAUAAUUUUAUCUGGACUUCAAAAAUUAUGUUGUAAUUUUAGAAAAUAUUGUUGCCAUUAAUUAUCAAUUAUGGAUAAUUCAAAAUUAAUUGGAUUUAAUUAAUUGUGAUUUGUGGUAUGUUGCAGAAUCGGGAAAGAUCAUGCAGUUUCAGUGGCUCGAAUUCCGUUAAUUAAUUGUAAAAUAUUUGAAGUGUUUCUAGCAGGUUUUGGACCCAUUAUACAGGGGUAAAUAUCUGUAAUUUAGGAGAGGUUCUGUCGAAUUUUUGACAGAAUUCUCGAGUCUGAAAGUCUAAUAUAGGAGUUCAGGCCUAGGGAAAUUUAAGAAUGUCUAUUAAUUGAGUAUUUUUGUGAAUAGAUAAUAUGUUCAUCCCGCCAGCUCCACCAGAGGUGUAGGAGCGGACUGCGGAGCACGACAGAACUAUGAGUUAAAGUCAUAUAAUCGUUGUACAUUGGUUAUGAUUUUGACUUUGGGAUGAGGUGAUAGUAGAACAUGUCACCUGAUGAGUUGCAUCAGGACCGCAUGCGCACCGGUAAUAAUCAGAGACAGGUGACAGUUAGAGUUCUUCGCCGUCCUGUAUUUUGAUAGCCCGACUUUUUUUUUUCAUCAAGCUUAUUGUAAAUAAUCUAUACUUUUAUAUUUUUAGUUCUUUUAUACUUUAGACCUUCCGCAGUAGUAUUUUUAAUUUGUUAUGAUUAUACUGGUCCAUAAUAGACGUGAAAUGUUAUUAAAGACUAGUUAGAUUUGUGUAUGGCAUAUCAGACAUGAUUAAUAUUAUAUUUCUCAUAUGUACUUUAUAGAAUAU
Long non-coding RNA from Ricinus communis (castor bean), 1209 nucleotides. RefSeq lists it as uncharacterized. The record is from RefSeq and is a predicted model, not a curated record. NCBI's taxonomy places the organism in Eukaryota, Viridiplantae, Streptophyta, Magnoliopsida, Malpighiales, Euphorbiaceae. The transcript has 3 exons.